RNAcentral lists this ribosomal RNA (593 nucleotides) under uncultured fungus. RNAcentral's name for it is "eukaryotic LSU rRNA". It matches the Rfam family "Eukaryotic large subunit ribosomal RNA", at positions 40 to 647 of the family's 3401-position model. Lineage: Eukaryota; Fungi. The record is from RNAcentral.
AUAUCAAUAAGCGGAGGAAAAGAAACCAACAGGGAUUGCCUCAGUAACGGCGAGUGAAGCGGCAACAGCUCAAAUUUGAAAUCUGGCCUCCUUUGGGGGUCCGAGUUGUAAUUUGCAGAGGGUGCUUCGGCGGAAGCUCCGGUUUAAGUCCCUUGGAACAGGACGGCAUAGAGGGUGAGACCCCCGUGUUCAACCGGCAGCGUACCCCGUGUGAAGCCCCUUCGACGAGUCGAGUUGUUUGGGAAUGCAGCUCUAAAUUGGUGGUAAAUUCCAUCUAAAGCUAAAUACCGGCCAGAGACCGAUAGCGCACAAGUAGAGUGAUCGAAAGAUGAAAAGCACUUUGAAAAGAGAGUCAAAAAGUACGUGAAAUUGUUGAAAGGGAAGCGCUUGCGGCCAGACUUACCCAUGGUGUUCAGCCUGCCUUUGGGCAGGUGCAUUUCAUCUGUGGGUAGGCCAGCAUCGGUUCAGGCGGUCGGAUAAAGGCCUCGGGAAUGUGGCCCCUCUCGGGGGGUGUUAUAGCCCGUGGUACAAUGCGGCCCGCCUGGACCGAGGAUCGCGCAUUGCUAGGAUGCUGGCGUAAUGGCCGUAAGCGG